Molecule: transfer RNA, 63 nt
Filed under: Lamprotula leaii
Lineage: Eukaryota; Metazoa; Mollusca; Bivalvia; Unionida; Unionidae
Description: tRNA-Val
Source: RNAcentral
UUAAAAGUAGUAUAUAAAUUACAACUUGCUUACACCAAGUAAAAGGUCUAUAGCCCUUUUAAA